This 372-nucleotide ribosomal RNA is filed under the name uncultured organism. RNAcentral's name for it is "bacterial SSU rRNA". It matches the Rfam family "Bacterial small subunit ribosomal RNA", at positions 526 to 896 of the family's 1533-position model. The record is from RNAcentral.
CGUAGGGGGCUAGCGUUGUCCGGAAUCAUUGGGCGUAAAGCGCGUGUAGGCGGCCCGGUAAGUCCGCUGUGAAAGUCGGGGGCUCAACCCUCGAAAGCCGGUGAAUACUGUCGGGCUCGAGUACGGAAGAGGCGAGUGGAAUUCCUGGUGUAGCGGUGAAAUGCGCAGAUAUCAGGAGGAACACCAAUUGCGAAGGCAGCUCGCUGGGACGUAACUGACGCUGAGACGCGAAAGCGUGGGGAGCAAACAGGAUUAGAUACCCUGGUAGUCCACGCUGUAAACGAUGGGCACUAGGUGUGGGGGGUGUCGACUCCCUCCGUGCCGGAGCUAACGCAUUAAGUGCCCCGCCUGGGGAGUACGGCCGCAAGGCUA